UACGAAGGGGGCUAGCGUUGCUCGGAAUUACUGGGCGUAAAGCGUGCGCAGGCGGUUUUGUAAGUCUGACGUGAAAUCCCCGGGCUCAACCUGGGAAUUGCGUUGGAGACUGCAAGGCUAGAAUCUGGCAGAGGGGGGUAGAAUUCCACGUGUAGCAGUGAAAUGCGUAGAGAUGUGGAGGAACACCGAUGGCGAAGGCAGCCCCCUGGGUCAAGAUUGACGCUCAUGCACGAAAGCGUGGGGAGCAAACAGG
RNAcentral lists this ribosomal RNA (253 nucleotides) under uncultured bacterium. RNAcentral's name for it is "partial 16S ribosomal RNA". It matches the Rfam family "Bacterial small subunit ribosomal RNA", at positions 524 to 776 of the family's 1533-position model. The record is from RNAcentral.